GGCUCUUAAUAAGUUUCAGGUUUGGGACUAUGAUCCUCAGAUCUCAGCCUCCUGAGUAGCUAGGAUUACAAGCUUGAGCAACCAGUGUCCAGUCCUCUUCAAUAAUUGGUCAUGCCUCAUAGAGAGUCCUGCAUCAGAGAGACUUCUGCCUCAUUGAGGAUCCUGCUUUGUGGAGCAUUCUGUCUUACAGAUGACAACCUGCCUUCAUGAGGACCAAGCUGCACAGAGGACCAUGCCUCCUCAAAGGCCCUGAAACCUAGGAGGCACGGCCUCAAAGAGUAGUCUGAAGAGGAUGCAAGGAAUUCAGUUGUACAGUGUUGGUAACAAUUGAGAUUAGUCUACACACUAUGGUAGUGUGGUGAAUCUUCAACAAUCUAAGAAUAGAAUGAUGAUCUCUCUGUAACCCAGCUAUACCACUUUUGGGUACAUACCCAAAGGAAUGUAAGUCCACUUACUAUAAAUAUAAAUGCACACUCAAGUUUAUUGACAUACUAGCCAUAAUAUACCAGUUAUGGUAUCAGCCUAGAUGCCUGUCAAUGGGAGAAUAGACAAUAAAUUUGAGGUUUAGAUAGACAAUGGAGUUUUAUUCAGACAGAAAGAAGAAUGAAAUGACAUUUACAGGAAGAUAAAUGGAACUAGAGAUCAUUGUGUUCAACGAAAUAAGGCAUACUUUGAAAUACAGGUAUCACAUGUUUACUUUCACAUGUAGAUUUACAAACAACCUGGAAAUAGAAAUGUGAAUAUUUGGGAUGAAGAAUUGGACCUGGGUGAAUGUGAUCAAAGUAUAUUCUAAACAUUCAUGAAAGUAUCAAUGAAACCCAUUAUUUUGUAUAACUCACAUCUGCUUAAAAAUGAAUGGGGGAGCUGGGCACCAAUGGCUCAACCUCUCAGGAGGCUGAGAUCUGAGGAUUGUGAUUCUA
Molecule: long non-coding RNA, 920 nt
Organism: Dipodomys spectabilis (banner-tailed kangaroo rat)
Lineage: Eukaryota; Metazoa; Chordata; Mammalia; Rodentia; Heteromyidae
Exons: 3
Source: RefSeq, a predicted model, not a curated record